GGGGACAUAGCUCAGCAGUAGAGUCCUUGCCUUGCAUACAUGAGGCCCUGAGUUCAAUCCUUAGCAUCACCA
RNAcentral lists this transfer RNA (72 nucleotides) under Heterocephalus glaber (naked mole-rat). It matches the Rfam family "tRNA". Rfam says of the family: Transfer RNA (tRNA) molecules are approximately 80 nucleotides in length. Their secondary structure includes four short double-helical elements and three loops (D, anti-codon, and T loops). The record is from Rfam by way of RNAcentral. Lineage: Eukaryota; Metazoa; Chordata; Mammalia; Rodentia; Bathyergidae.